UGUAAAGAGGGGUAUACCCCAUAAAUGGAAUUACAAUCCACCACCUAUAUUCAGCCACCUUUAC
This 64-nucleotide transfer RNA is filed under the name Ctenophorus clayi. RNAcentral describes it as "tRNA-Tyr". The record is from RNAcentral. Lineage: Eukaryota; Metazoa; Chordata; Lepidosauria; Squamata; Agamidae.